GAUGAACGCUGGCGGCGUGCCUAAUACAUGCAAGUCGAGCGAACGGACGAGAAGCUUGCUUCUCUGAUGUUAGCGGCGGACGGGUGAGUAACACGUGGAUAACCUACCUAUAAGACUGGGAUAACUUCGGGAAACCGGAGCUAAUACCGGAUAAUAUUUUGAACCUCAUGGUUCAAAAGUGAAAGACGGUCUUGCUGUCACUUAUAGAUGGAUCCGCGCUGCAUUAGCUAGUUGGUAAGGUAACGGCUUACCAAGGCAACGAUGCAUAGCCUACCUGAGAGGGUGAUCGGCCACACUGGAACUGAGACACGGUCCAGACUCCUACGGGAGGCAGCAGUAGGGAAUCUUCCGCAAUGGGCGAAAGCCUGACGGAGCAACGCCGCGUGAGUGAUGAAGGUCUUCGGAUCGUAAAACUCUGUUAUUAGGGAAGAACAUAUGUGUAAGUAACUGUGCACAUCUUGACGGUACCUAAUCAGAAAGCCACGGCUAACUACGUG
This 497-nucleotide ribosomal RNA is filed under the name uncultured bacterium. Its description in RNAcentral is "partial 16S ribosomal RNA". It matches the Rfam family "Bacterial small subunit ribosomal RNA", at positions 28 to 507 of the family's 1533-position model. The record is from RNAcentral.